CAAGAAGAGCGCGCCUUAAUCCGCAACGAACCCGCCCACAGAGGCACCCAAACCCCGCCCGCCGCCUCCGCCCCCUCGGUUCCGCAGAUUCCCUCCCCCGAGCUCGUCGGCGGAGCUGCUCCGGCCGCCUCGCUCGCUCGCCGCCGUUGCGCCAUGGCUACGCCGCUGGUAGCUGGGCUGUCGGUAGCUGCUGCUGCCAUGGGAAGCAGAUUCAUGAUUCAGGCAUGGCAGGCCUUUCGAAUCCGGGCGGCGAUGCCACGUGUGCGUAAAUUCUAUCCUGGCGGAUUUGAGAGGGAGAUGAGCAGAAGAGAAGCGGCACUGAUCCUUGGCGUAAGAGAACGUGCUGCACUGGACAAGAUAAAGGAGGCCCACAAGAGGGUGAUGGUAGCCAACCACCCUGAUGGUGGCGGCAGCCAUUACAUUGCUUCCAAGAUAAACGAGGCCAAGGACAUGCUCAUGGGGAAGGGCAAAUCCGGGUCCAUUUUUUAGCCAGUGCAUACGAGAUGGAGGUUAUUUUGCAUUGUUCGCGAUGAGGUAGUGAUUCGCUUUCCGUUGACAUCAUUAACAGUGUUGUGCUGAUACCGUGCAUCUGAACAAAGAUGCACGUUAUGGAAACAGAGUAACUUGAUUAUGUGGCUGAUGUAAGUUUACCCAGCGGCUCCAGAUAUUAUGCUAACCUUCUGUUGUGACC
This 691-nucleotide ribosomal RNA is filed under the name Triticum aestivum (bread wheat). RNAcentral describes it as "partial small subunit ribosomal RNA". Lineage: Eukaryota; Viridiplantae; Streptophyta; Magnoliopsida; Poales; Poaceae. The record is from RNAcentral.